UACAGAGGUCUCAAGCGUUGUUCGGAUUCAUUGGGCGUAAAGGGUGCGUAGGUGGCGCUGUAAGUCAGGUGUGAAAUUUCGGAGCUUAACUCCGAAACUGCAUUUGAUACUGCGGUGCUUGAGGACUGGAGAGGAGACUGGAAUUUACGGUGUAGCAGUGGAAUGCGUAGAGAUCGUAAGGAAGACCAGUGGCGAAGGCGGGUCUCUGGACAGUUCCUGACACUGAGGCACGAAGGCCAGGGGAGCAAACGGG
RNAcentral lists this ribosomal RNA (253 nucleotides) under uncultured bacterium. Its description in RNAcentral is "partial 16S ribosomal RNA". It matches the Rfam family "Bacterial small subunit ribosomal RNA", at positions 524 to 776 of the family's 1533-position model. The record is from RNAcentral.